This 718-nucleotide long non-coding RNA is filed under the name Nicotiana benthamiana. Its description in RNAcentral is "long non-coding RNA (NBEN_LNC008199)". Lineage: Eukaryota; Viridiplantae; Streptophyta; Magnoliopsida; Solanales; Solanaceae. The record is from RNAcentral.
AUUAAAGCUGUUCCAGAGCAUGUACUGCAGUCCACCUUUAUGCCUUAAAACUCCUUUUCAACUUUUACAGUUUACACAAGCAAUCAUAUCUAGGUUACAAUUUAGAAACUUCAUGUUCACAGAAUUCAGAAAAACCAUAGUCAAUUUUAUAUAGCAAUAAAAAGUUUGUCAAUAACACUAGCAAAUUCACUUGAGCUAGCAUUUUGCUGAAAAACCAGCUAACUAAUUGAGCUUAACAUGUUCAAACAAGAAUUAUACAGUGAACAAAGGUCAACCAACUUUAAUAUUUACUCAGAAUUAAGACAUAACCAAAGUCAAUAAAUGAAAACUACACACCGGAUAUAGAUUAAUACUGUAAUAAGAGAAGAAAACAAACCAAAAGAACCCACCUUUAUACUACUACUAUGAAGCUUUAUCUUUUACAGCAAAACCAAAGCUGCUUUUUGAGCUGCUAUCACUCAAAUCCUUCCAAAAGCCUGGCAAAAUCCUCAUAACUUUGUCAUUCAAAAAACUUUCACUUUCAAAAUCAAUACCCAAAACUCCAAAAUGGGUCGCUCUCUCACUCUCUCUCUCUCUUCUUAAUUUAGUAGAUCCCAAUUAUGAAGUGAACGAUUCAAAGAUAGGUGGAUAUAUAGCAAUGAUUGAAGUAAACCCACCAAAACCCAAGAAUUAGUAUCAUGUAGACUAUGCACAGAUCACGAGAAGAGCCAACUUUAUA